Molecule: small RNA, 121 nt
Filed under: Kosakonia cowanii
Lineage: Bacteria; Pseudomonadati; Pseudomonadota; Gammaproteobacteria; Enterobacterales; Enterobacteriaceae
Description: RtT RNA
Rfam family: RtT RNA
About the family: This family represents a bacterial cis-regulatory element known as RtT RNA. The exact function of RtT is unknown although it is thought that it may be involved in changing the cellular response in relation to amino acid starvation.
Source: RNAcentral
UUCUCCAUUCGGGGAAGGAUGAGAAGCUUCGACUAAGGUUCGACUCGAGCAUCGCGAGAGAGCGUUGCCGCAGGCAACGACCCGAAGGGCGAGGACCAUAGCGACGAGUAAUCCUUCCCCC